CGAAUCCUUCCGUCCCAG
Molecule: transfer RNA, 18 nt
Filed under: Clematis ligusticifolia
Lineage: Eukaryota; Viridiplantae; Streptophyta; Magnoliopsida; Ranunculales; Ranunculaceae
Also listed under: 34 other names
Description: tRNA-Gln(UUG)
Source: RNAcentral